RNAcentral lists this ribosomal RNA (456 nucleotides) under uncultured bacterium. Its description in RNAcentral is "bacterial SSU rRNA". It matches the Rfam family "Bacterial small subunit ribosomal RNA", at positions 335 to 784 of the family's 1533-position model. The record is from RNAcentral.
ACUCCUACGGGAGGCAGCAGUAAGGAAUAUUGGUCAAUGGGCGAAAGCCUGAACCAGCCAUGCCGCGUGUCAGAUGAAGGUCCUCUGGAUUGUAAAUGACUUUUCUACGGGAAGAAUGAGCCGUCUGCGGACGGAAGUUGACGGUACCGUAGGAAUAAGCACCGGCUAACUACGUGCCAGCAGCCGCGGUAAUACGUAGGGGUGCAAGCGUUGUCCGGAUUUACUGGGGUUUAAAGGGUACGUAGGCGGUUGUGCCAAGUCUGGGGUGAAAGUUUGCAGCUCAACUGUAAAAUUGCCUUGGAUACUGGUCGGCUAGAGUAGUGGAGCGGUGGCUGGAAUUUAUAGUGUAGCGGUGAAAUGCUUAGAUACUAUGAGGAACACCAAUUGCGAAGGCAGGUCACUGGUCACUAACUGACGCUGAGGUACGAAAGUGUGGGGAUCAAACAGGAUUAGAUA